UUAGACAGAUUUAUCCAAUAAAGGGUAAGCAGCGCGGUACAGAGCACCUGCCUUCUGUCAUAUAAUAACACUUCCUUCUCUUCCUCUGUGCUGCUUUAUUUACUCUCUUUCAAAUUAUUCUUUGUCCUUCGUUGACAAAGAUAAAUGAAGGGAUUAAUAUAUAUUGGAGAAAUCUCCCAGCAGCCCGAAAGAACAGGGAGACGGAGGAUAGCAUUUCCCCCAGGCAGUGAGUCAUAACCCAAUAAGCAUCUGUCUUUUGGCUCUGAACGGGGAAUCGCAGAGGGACACGUCCCAUCGAUGGAGGGAAAGUGACGCUUUACUACCUGCAUGGUACCUGGAGAAAAAUUGGGAAGAAGCGUGUUCUGUCUGCAUGAAGCUGCCCCCGCUGUUCACAGAGUCGCACGGCGAGGCUCACAAAGGCCGAAAACUCUGAGCAGUGGUAUGUACCUGCGUGACUGCAAACAAGAGCCUGGGAAGAGGAUGAAACGGAACAGGGCCUUCCAUUCCCAUCUGCUCCAUUUCUGUGUUCACACCUAAAUAUCCAUUUAUAUCACUUAUUUCUAAAUGGCAAGUAUGUACUACCCACCCAAGUAUGUACUACCCACCCAAGUAUGUACUACCCACCCAAGUAUGUACAUUUAUCAGAAUUGUAUCAAAAAAGCCCCACAAACCUGGUUGUAUGGCAAUAAAAGCUACUGUCCUGU
This is a long non-coding RNA of Brienomyrus brachyistius, 704 nucleotides long. RefSeq lists it as uncharacterized. The transcript has 2 exons. Lineage: Eukaryota; Metazoa; Chordata; Actinopteri; Osteoglossiformes; Mormyridae. The record is from RefSeq and is a predicted model, not a curated record.